RNAcentral lists this ribosomal RNA (492 nucleotides) under Rhodopseudomonas sp. BAKZL1151. RNAcentral's name for it is "partial 16S ribosomal RNA". The record is from RNAcentral. Lineage: Bacteria; Pseudomonadati; Pseudomonadota; Alphaproteobacteria; Hyphomicrobiales; Nitrobacteraceae.
GGACACCUCACCCUAUCUCGGUCUAUUCNUNNNNAUUUAUAAGGGAUUUUGCCGAUUUCGGCCUAUUGGUUAAAAAAUGNGCUGAUUUAACAAAAAUUUAACGCGAAAUUUUAACAAAAUUCAGGGCGCCCAGGGCUGCUAAAGGAAAAGCGGAACACGUAGAAAGCCAGUCCGCAGAAAACGGUGCUGACCCCGGAUGAAUGUCAGCUACUGGGCUAUCUGGGACAAGGGAAAAAACGCCAAGCCGCAAAAGAGAAAGCAAGGUAGCUUUGCCAAGUUGGGGGCCUUUACAAUGGGCGAAUAGCCUUAGGAACCUGGGGGGCCGGGGUUUUUUUAAUGGGGAACCAAGCCAAAGCCGGAAAACCCGGGGAAAUUUUGGCCCCAGGCCUUGGGGGGGGCCGGCCCCCUUCCUUGGGGUUAAAGGGUUUGGGGGAAAAAGCCCCCCUNGCCAAAAAGGNNAAAAACCUGGGGGAUNGGGGCCUUUUUUCCUUU